This 468-nucleotide ribosomal RNA is filed under the name uncultured bacterium. RNAcentral describes it as "partial 16S ribosomal RNA". It matches the Rfam family "Bacterial small subunit ribosomal RNA", at positions 28 to 507 of the family's 1533-position model. The record is from RNAcentral.
GACGAGCGCUGGCGGCGUGCUUAACACAUGCAAGUCGAACGGAAAGGCCCUGCUUUUGUGGGGUGCUCGAGUGGCGAACGGGUGAGUAACACGUGAGUAACCUGCCCUUGACUUUGGGAUAACUUCAGGAAACUGGGGCUAAUACCGGAUAGGAGCUCCUGCUGCAUGGUGGGGGUUGGAAAGUUUCGGCGGUUGGGGAUGGGCUCGCGGCUUAUCAGCUUGUUGGUGGGGUAGUGGCUUACCAAGGCUUUGACGGGUAGCCGGCCUGAGAGGGUGACCGGCCACAUUGGGACUGAGAUACGGCCCAGACUCCUACGGGAGGCAGCAGUGGGGAAUAUUGCACAAUGGGCGGAAGCCUGAUGCAGCAACGCCGCGUGCGGGAUGACGGCCUUCGGGUUGUAAACCGCUUUCGCCUGUGACGAAGCGUGAGUGACGGUAAUGGGUAAAGAAGCACCGGCUAACUACGUG